AGUGAACGCUGGCGGUAGGCCUAACACAUGCAGGUCGAACGGCAGCACAGUAAGAGCUUGCUCUUACGGGUGGCGAGUGGCGGACAGGUGAGGAAUAUAUCGGAAUCUACUUUUUCGUGGGGGAUAACGUAGGGAAACUUACGCUAAUACCGCAUACGACCUACGGGUGAAAGCAGGGGAUCUUCGGACCUUGCGCGAUUGAAUGAGCCGAUGUCGGAUUAGCUAGUUGGCGGGGUAAAGGCCCACCAAGGCGACGAUCCGUAGCUGGUCUGAGAGGAUGAUCAGCCACACUGGAACUGAGACACGGUCCAGACUCCUACGGGAGGCAGCAGUGGGGAAUAUUGGACAAUGGGCGCAAGCCUGAUCCAGCCAUACCGCGUGGGUGAAGAAGGCCUUCGGGUUGUAAAGCCCUUUUGUUGGGAAAGAAAAGCAGCAGGUUAAUACCCCGCUGUUCUGACGGUACCCAAAGAAUAAGCACCGGCUAACUUCGUG
RNAcentral lists this ribosomal RNA (492 nucleotides) under uncultured bacterium. RNAcentral describes it as "partial 16S ribosomal RNA". It matches the Rfam family "Bacterial small subunit ribosomal RNA", at positions 29 to 507 of the family's 1533-position model. The record is from RNAcentral.